GACAUAGGUGGCGAACGUUAUCCGGAAUUAUUGGGCGUAAAGGGUGCGUAGGCGGUCUGACAAGUCUGAUGUGAAAUCUAUGGGCUCAACCCAUAGUCUGCAUCGGAAACUGUCGGGCUUGAGUAUGGAAGAGGUGAGUGGAAUUUCCGGUGUAGCGGUGAAAUGCGUAGAUAUCGGAAGGAACACCUGUGGCGAAAGCGGCUCACUGGACCAUUACUGACGCUGAGGCACGAAAGCUAGGGGAGCAAACAGG
This 253-nucleotide ribosomal RNA is filed under the name uncultured bacterium. RNAcentral's name for it is "partial 16S ribosomal RNA". It matches the Rfam family "Bacterial small subunit ribosomal RNA", at positions 524 to 776 of the family's 1533-position model. The record is from RNAcentral.